This 284-nucleotide long non-coding RNA is filed under the name Populus tremula. RNAcentral describes it as "long non-coding RNA (PTRE_LNC000478)". The record is from RNAcentral. Lineage: Eukaryota; Viridiplantae; Streptophyta; Magnoliopsida; Malpighiales; Salicaceae.
UUCUUCUCGGUUUCGGAUCGGCUUCCCUCUGGUUGCAGGUCCGGUUGAGGAGUGUUCGGUGGCGGUGCUGCGCUGGGUUCUUCAGUCGUGGGGAGAUCGGCGGCGAUGCUGAGGAGAUCGCCUGUCCGUUGCUCCUUUCUCCUUCCCCGAUGGCAGAUCGAGUGGCGAUGUUGUCCGGGUUGCGUGGUGACCGUCGUUGCUGAGGAGACCGAGGAAGAAGAUGCUGCCGAGAGAGAGGCUUCGACGUUGUGGGAGAAGGAAUCUUGGCCGGCGGCUGGAAAAAA